CAGAGUAGAUUUCAGUGCGUAAAGUGUUUUACAGACGGGGAGUUGCUGUAAAAACGAAAGAGGAUUUCUUCUGCGGUACCGGAAUCGCAUCCCGCUGU
This 98-nucleotide non-coding RNA is filed under the name uncultured Ruminococcus sp. RNAcentral's name for it is "THF riboswitch". It matches the Rfam family "THF (Tetrahydrofolate) riboswitch aptamer". Rfam says of the family: THF riboswitch presents a pseudoknot that joins P1-P2 and the loop of P3 and two THF binding. Lineage: Bacteria; Bacillati; Bacillota; Clostridia; Eubacteriales; Oscillospiraceae. The record is from RNAcentral.